UACUCUAGGGAUAACAGGCUGAUAGCGCCCAAGCGCUCACAGAGACGGCGCUGUUUGGCACCUCGAUGUCGGCUCAUCUCAUCCUGGGGCUGGAGCAGGUCCCAAGGGUAUGGCUGUUCGCCAUUUAAAGAGGUACGUGAGCUGGGUUCAGAACGUCGUGAGACAGUUCGGUCCCUAUCUGCCGUGGGAGUUGGAGUCUUGAGAGGAGCUGCCCUUAGUACGAGAGGACCGGGGUGGACGAACCUCUGGUGUAUCUGUUGUCGCGCCAGCGGCAGCGCAGAGUAGCUAUGUUCGGACUGGAUAACCGCUGAAAGCAUCUAAGCGGGAAGCCGCCCUCAAUACCAGGACUCCCUAUCAGAGCCGUGGAAGACCACCACGUUGAUAGGAUGGAUGUGGAAGUAUGGCAACAUAUGAAGCUAACCAUUACUAAUUGCUCGAUUGGCUUGAAUUC
Molecule: ribosomal RNA, 451 nt
Filed under: Alphaproteobacteria bacterium
Lineage: Bacteria; Pseudomonadati; Pseudomonadota; Alphaproteobacteria
Description: partial 23S ribosomal RNA
Rfam family: Bacterial large subunit ribosomal RNA
Source: RNAcentral